GAUGUGUAUAAGGUACAGGCCAGGAUGUUGGCUUAGAAGCAGCCAUCAUUUAAAGAAAGCGUAAUAGCUCACUGGUCGAGUCGGCCUGCGCGGAAGAUGUAACGGGGCUAAACCAUGCACCGAAGCUGCGGCAGCGAACGUAUCACCCAAGACAACUUUACGGAGUUGACGAUUGACGGAGCGAAGCGACGUCAAAGCGUUCAUUAAAGUCGAGUUGGCUUAGGGAUACGUUCGUUGGGUAGGGGAGCGUUCUGUAAGCCUGUGAAGGUGUGUCGUGAGGCAUGCUGGAGGUAUCAGAAGUGCGAAUGCUGACAUAAGUAACGAUAAAGCGGGUGAAAAGCCCGCUCGCCGGAAGACCAAGGGUUCCUGUCCAACGUUAAUCGGGGCAGGGUGAGUCGACCCCUAAGGCGAGGCCGAAAGGCGUAGUCGAUGGGAAACGGGUUAAUAUUCCCGUACUUGGUGUUACUGCGAAGGGGGGACGGAGAAGGCUAUGUUGGCCGGGCGACGGUUGUCCCGGUUUAAGCGUGUAGGUGUGUGUUCCAGGUAAAUCCGGUUCACUUUAACACUGAGGCGUGACGACGAGGCACUACGGUGCUGAAGCAACAAAUGCCCUGCUUCCAGGAAAAGCCUCUAAGCAUCAGGUAACACGAAAUCGUACCCCAAACCGACACAGGUGGUCAGGUAGAGAAUACCAAGGCGCUUGAGAGAACUCGGGUGAAGGAACUAGGCAAAAUGGUGCCGUAACUUCGGGAGAAGGCACGCUGACACGUAGGUGAAGUGAUUUACUCAUGGAGCUGAAGUCAGUCGAAGAUACCAGCUGGCUGCAACUGUUUAUUAAAAACACAGCACUGUGCAAACACGAAAGUGGACGUAUACGGUGUGACGCCUGCCCGGUGCCGGAAGGUUAAUUGAUGGGGUCAGCGCAAGCGAAGCUCCUGAUCGAAGCCCCGGUAAACGGCGGCCGUAACUAUAACGGUCCUAAGGUAGCGAAAUUCCUUGUCGGGUAAGUUCCGACCUGCACGAAUGGCGUAAUGAUGGCCAGGCUGUCUCCACCCGAGACUCAGUGAAAUUGAACUCGCUGUGAAGAUGCAGUGUACCCGCGGCAAGACGGAAAGACCCCGUGAACCUUUACUAUAGCUUGACACUGAACAUUGAGCCUUGAUGUGUAGGAUAGGUGGGAGGCUUUGAAGUGUGGACGCCAGUCUGCAUGGAGCCGACCUUGAAAUACCACCCUUUAAUGUUUGAUGUUCUAACGUGGACCCGUAAUCCGGGUUGCGGACAGUGUCUGGUGGGUAGUUUGACUGGGGCGGUCUCCUCCUAAAGAGUAACGGAGGAGCACGAAGGUUGGCUAAUCCUGGUCGGACAUCAGGAGGUUAGUGCAAUGGCAUAAGCCAGCUUGACUGCGAGCGUGACGGCGCGAGCAGGUGCGAAAGCAGGUCAUAGUGAUCCGGUGGUUCUGAAUGGAAGGGCCAUCGCUCAACGGAUAAAAGGUACUCCGGGGAUAACAGGCUGAUACCGCCCAAGAGUUCAUAUCGACGGCGGUGUUUGGCACCUCGAUGUCGGCUCAUCACAUCCUGGGGCUGAAGUAGGUCCCAAGGGUAUGGCUGUUCGCCAUUUAAAGUGGUACGCGAGCUGGGUUUAGAACGUCGUGAGACAGUUCGGUCCCUAUCUGCCGUGGGCGCUGGAGAACUGAGGGGGGCUGCUCCUAGUACGAGAGGACCGGAGUGGACGCAUCACUGGUGUUCGGGUUGUCAUGCCAAUGGCACUGCCCGGUAGCUAAAUGCGGAAGAGAUAAGUGCUGAAAGCAUCUAAGCACGAAACUUGCCCCGAGAUGAGUUCUCCCUGAGACUUAGAGUCUCCUGAAGGAACGUUGAAGACGACGACGUUGAUAGGCCGGGUGUGUAAGCGCAGCGAUGCGUUGAGCUAACCGGUACUAAUGAACCGUG
Molecule: ribosomal RNA, 1946 nt
Filed under: Salmonella enterica subsp. enterica serovar Typhimurium
Lineage: Bacteria; Pseudomonadati; Pseudomonadota; Gammaproteobacteria; Enterobacterales; Enterobacteriaceae
Description: bacterial LSU rRNA
Rfam family: Bacterial large subunit ribosomal RNA
Source: RNAcentral